Molecule: long non-coding RNA, 1730 nt
Organism: Dermacentor albipictus
Lineage: Eukaryota; Metazoa; Arthropoda; Arachnida; Ixodida; Ixodidae
Source: RefSeq, a predicted model, not a curated record
CGCGAUAACGUAACUCUAUUCCAAACAAAAAGUGUUCCAAAAUCCGGACGUCAAAAUGACGCGACAGUUUCUGCGUAUGGGGGCGGGAACCAGCGACGUUUUUCAAUCUGUCCAAUCAGCAGCCUCCAUCGUUGCCGGAAGUAUGUUUUGCUUGUUUUUUAUUUGCAAAGGGACCGUAUAGCAAGUGACAUAAAGACAUAAACGUCUGAUAAAAGAACAAUUGUAUGUCGCUGAGAGUAAAAGUGUUUUGUAAUCUUUUAACGCAAGAGAAGUUGAAGCGCACUUGAAAGUAAGCACAAAUAUUUUAAUUUUUUGAGUCAUAGCCACACACGUGCCAAUUCCGCAUCCAAUCCAUUUCGCUACGCACACUUAAGAUGGCGGCUACGUGAAAACAGCUGAUCGGUCCUGUGGCCCGCACUUGGUGUAUAUUUGUCCGUAACGUGAGUAGUUGAAAUCUUGCCGUACGUGGUACUUUCGCCCGAGAAGAAUUCUGGAAGCUGUGAACAUCAUGAAGACUGCGAAAGCGUAGUGCUCGGAUACGGAAGAAUCGAUGAAGGUUGGAAGGCAUCUCAACAGAUAGCUGGAAGACGGGAGGUGGAAAGUUGGGCGGCCUAGAGGGUCGAGUGAUCGCCGUGCUCGCCCAUACCGGCCCAGCCUCCGCCCCUGCGGAUUUUUUUCACGGCGAUGCUGAGGAGGACAGUAGUAGUGAGGAGUCCGCUGAAGUGCCCCCUGCCCCACCAGCAGCUGCGCGCGUCUCGGUGGGCACGGAGCCGGGGACCAGUGGCACUGCACCUCGGCAGCAGCCCCGCAGGCCACCCCGACUUCAGGUCCUCACGGACGCCGCAUCAAGGACCGCCGCGGACUAUGCCCGGCAGAGCCAGUUAGCUGAGGCGGCAAACGCGGAGGCCGCAAGCUUCCACCAGCAGUUGCUGCAGCAACAUCGGCAGCUGGUGGAAGAGCAGCGAGCGACGCGGCAAGUCCUCGAGCAGCUGGUGGCCGAGAUGCGUGGUUCGCGAGAGGCGAACACCCUCAUUGCGACCACGCUGCGCCAGCUGCUGGCUGCCCUGGCCGACCUGCGCGCGCCGCCUCAGCAUUAAGGGGCAGCUUUUUUUUUUUUUUGCCAUAUCAUCCUUUAGUGCUUUGUUAGGUACAAGUGUCACCUAUCUAUGCAUGUUUUUUUUUUUUUUAUGCAGCACUAAAGGAUGAUAUGGCUGUUUUCCGUAAUUUCUGUCCCUAAUCAUAUUUUUUUUUCCAAGGUAAUUUCUGUCAUGUUUAUUUUAAUAUCUAGUGCAAGUUUCGCGUUUCUGUUCAUUACCGUGUUUUUUUAGUGUGUCAUUUAGUCAUUUUGUGUAAUUAUCUAUGUUCUAUCUAUCUAUGUGUAAUUAUCUGUCAUGUUUAUUUUAAUAUCUAGUGCAAGUUUCGCGUUUCUGUUCAUUACCGUGUUUUUUUAGUGUGUCAUUUAGUCAUUUGGUGUUUUUAUCUAUGUCCAAGUGAGACGGUAUAAGGUAUAUUUACAAUUUUUGUCAUAUUUUUGCGUUUCUGUUUUUUACCGUAUUUUUUUCUCCAAGUUCAUUUCAUGUGUAUUAUUCUUUGUCCAAGUGAGACGGUAUAACUUAUAUGUACAUUUUUUGCCGUAUUUUCGUUAGGUGUUGUUCACUUUUGUUUUGCUGUUACUUAUAUGUUUCAAUGUGCGCCGUUCUUCCACGGAAGAUACACUGUGCAAUCACUUU